AAUACCGGUGGCGAAGGCGGCCCCCUGGACAGAUACUGACACUCAGAUGCGAAAGCGUGGGGAGCAAACAGGAUUAGAUACCCUGGUAGUCCACGCCGUAAACGAUGUCUACUUGGAGGUUGUGGCCUUGAGCCGUGGCUUUCGGAGCUAACGCGUUAAGUAGACCGCCUGGGGAGUACGGUCGCAAGAUUAAAACUCAAAUGAAUUGACGGGGGCCCGCACAAGCGGUGGAGCAUGUGGUUUAAUUCGAUGCAACGCGAAGAACCUUACCUACUCUUGACAUCCAGAGAACUUUCCAGAGAUGGAUUGGUGCCUUCGGGAACUCUGAGACAGGUGCUGCAUGGCUGUCGUCAGCUCGUGUUGUGAAAUGUUGGGUUAAGUCCCGCAACGAGCGCAA
RNAcentral lists this ribosomal RNA (397 nucleotides) under Vibrio parahaemolyticus. Its description in RNAcentral is "bacterial SSU rRNA". It matches the Rfam family "Bacterial small subunit ribosomal RNA", at positions 705 to 1101 of the family's 1533-position model. Lineage: Bacteria; Pseudomonadati; Pseudomonadota; Gammaproteobacteria; Vibrionales; Vibrionaceae. The record is from RNAcentral.